Molecule: unclassified non-coding RNA, 21 nt
Filed under: Mus musculus (house mouse)
Lineage: Eukaryota; Metazoa; Chordata; Mammalia; Rodentia; Muridae
Description: oocyte_clustered_small_RNA1097
Source: RNAcentral
CCUGCACAUGCUUCACCUGAC